Long non-coding RNA from Sapajus apella (tufted capuchin), 261 nucleotides. RefSeq lists it as uncharacterized. The transcript is spliced from 3 exons. NCBI's taxonomy places the organism in Eukaryota, Metazoa, Chordata, Mammalia, Primates, Cebidae. The record is from RefSeq and is a predicted model, not a curated record.
AAUUAAAGAGCUUCUGCACAGCAAAAGAAACUAUCAACAGUGUACACAGACAACCUACACAAUGGAUAAAAUAUUUGCAAAAUAUGCAACUGACAAAGGUCUAAUAUCCAGAAUUUAUAAGGAACUGAAGCAAAUCAAGAAGCAAAAACGAAAUCGCCCAAUUAAAAAAUGGUCAAAGGACAGGAGCAGACACUUUGCAAAAGAAGACAAUUUAAAGCAGUUAUUAAAUACAUGAAAACAUGCACAACACCACUAAUCAUC